CCCAGCUACACCGUGCAAGAAAAUUCCUAUCAAACAACACGUCUAAAGCCUCAUGCAUCCUGUUGUUGGCAUCCUGGCUGCUGAUAUCUGCAUCUAUCCUUUGAGAUUCAGUAUUGUGGACUGCUCAUUUAAAAUCACCAAUAUCUGAGCGCUGCGUGCAUCUAUUUUCAUUAACAUCAUCCGACAAAGAGGACAGCAGCUUCCAGAAUGCUCUGCUGAAGUAAUUGAAAGGACUGUUUGUUUUGCUCCUGCUGCAGUCUGGUGUUCAUCGUCGGUGAUCAUCAUUAUUGGCGACGAAGGCAGCACAGGCAAAUUUAUCACAACACUACCAGUUGCUCGUUCAGUCUUUAUGUUCGAUGUACCGGUGCUUGUCGAUGGCUCUUGGUUUCCACCAUCAACUAUCUUGCCUGGCGGUCGGAUCUGGCUAGGAACACCGGUAAAAGAUUGCUCAGAUAUAGCAGUACUCGUUGAUGGUUUUUGAACAUUAACGCUGAUCAUUUUGGCUGGUGUACGGCUCACAACACAAACAGAUCCUCCAGCAGCCGCUAUCACCGAUGCAGAAGCACUGGUGGGUAAUUGUUGUCUUACAACAGUGGUCUUCAUACCACGCUGGUUCUUCGGAGCAUGAACUUCGGCAAACGAUCCAAUCGAUGGUACUGCAGAUCCCGUCAAUGCCUGUUGUCUACCGAUCUUCAUGCCUGAUUGCUGCGGUAGAGCAUCAGUAACCGGUACCAAUGAUGGCGCAGCAGUACUAGUUGACGGUUGCUGUCCAUGUUGCUGGCCUAACGGACGGAAUGGUGCAGCAACACCAGGUAAUGUUGACCGAUGAUGAUUACCAUCACCGGCAC
Long non-coding RNA from Anopheles merus, 848 nucleotides. RefSeq lists it as uncharacterized. Lineage: Eukaryota; Metazoa; Arthropoda; Insecta; Diptera; Culicidae. The record is from RefSeq and is a predicted model, not a curated record. The transcript is spliced from 3 exons.